CGAACGGGUGAGUAACACGUGGGCAACCUGCCCAAAAGAGGGGAUAACACUUGGAAACAGGUGCUAAUACCGCAUAACCAUAGUUACCGCAUGGUAACUAUGUAAAAGGUGGCUAUGCUACCGCUUUUGGAUGGGCCCGCGGCGCAUUAGCUAGUUGGUGGGGUAAAGGCUUACCAAGGCAAUGAUGCGUAGCCGAACUGAGAGGUUGAUCGGCCACAUUGGGACUGAGACACGGCCCAAACUCCUACGGAAGGCAGCAG
Molecule: ribosomal RNA, 260 nt
Filed under: uncultured bacterium
Lineage: Bacteria
Description: partial 16S ribosomal RNA
Rfam family: Bacterial small subunit ribosomal RNA
Source: RNAcentral